RNAcentral lists this ribosomal RNA (492 nucleotides) under uncultured bacterium. Its description in RNAcentral is "partial 16S ribosomal RNA". It matches the Rfam family "Bacterial small subunit ribosomal RNA", at positions 29 to 507 of the family's 1533-position model. The record is from RNAcentral.
AUUGAACGCUGGCGGCAUGCUUUACACAUGCAAGUCGAACGGUAACAGGCCUUCGGGUGCUGACGAGUGGCGAACGGGUGAGUAAUGCAUCGGAACGUACCCAGAGGUGGGGGAUAACGCAGCGAAAGCUGUGCUAAUACCGCAUGUGAUCUGAGGAUGAAAGCGGGGGACCGAGCAGCAAUGUUUGGCCUCGCGCCUUUGGAGCGGCCGAUGUCGGAUUAGCUAGUUGGUGGGGUAAAGGCCUACCAAGGCGACGAUCCGUAGCUGGUCUGAGGGGACGACCAGCCACAAUGGGACUGAGACACGGCCCAGACUCCUACGGGAGGCAGCAGUGGGGAAUUUUGGACAAUGGGCGCAAGCCUGAUCCAGCAAUGCCGCGUGCGGGAAGAAGGCCUUCGGGUUGUAAACCGCUUUUGGCAGGAACGAAACGGUGUCCGCUAAUACCGGGCGCUAAUGACGGUACCUGCAGAAUAAGCACCGGCUAACUACGUG